CUAAUAAUGGGUUCUUCCAUCUAACAGAGAAAGGUAGAACAUGAUCUGAUGGCUCGAAGUUGAAGCUAGACAAAUUGAGACAUGAAAUAAGGCAUACAUUUAUAACAUCCCAUAUCGGCUGCUGUAUGGAUAGGCUGUCCUGCCUUGGGUGGAAUCAGACAGUCUCAGAUGCUGUAGUUGACUUGCUUUGCAGUGGCUGACUCACAAAAAAAAACACAAAAAAAGAGGACUAAGAUUCUGCAGCUGUAAAACUCUGGAACAGUGAUUCUGCCCAUAUCAAGCAAGUCAAUAAUCAAAAUGAAAGAGCCACUCUCUAUCCAACCAUCCCCAUGGAGCAACUUUACAAGACUGAAAGAUAAUCUUCAAGCACUAUAGGUCUGAUCCAAAGCCCACUGAAGUCAAUGAGAUUCUUUCCAUUGCUUUCAGUGGAGUUUGUUUGAAGACCUGGACUGAAAUCAAGCUAGCACUACAGCUGAUGCACCACACCCACAACAUCUCUAUCAACCCUCAGUAUAUGCUUAAGUGUACAGAAGAUACAAGGCAAGGCUUCAGACUUACAAUAAGUUGCAUCCCACCACGUAUUCUCCUCCAGCUGUCCUUAGCUCUCUUUUGCUGCU
This is a long non-coding RNA of Mauremys reevesii (Reeves's turtle), 617 nucleotides long. RefSeq lists it as uncharacterized. The record is from RefSeq and is a predicted model, not a curated record. The transcript is spliced from 4 exons. NCBI's taxonomy places the organism in Eukaryota, Metazoa, Chordata, Testudines, Geoemydidae.